CCAGUAAGGGAAGAACCUGAUACUCCUGCACAAUCUCAUCCACAAUUUGAAAGAUUCAGAUGCUCAACAUGCUUCAGUUUUCUCAUCCCAAUAGGUAGUUGGGUCCUUCCUUGGUUGGUGCGUGACAAAGAAGAAGUAACUGAAGAUGCACCAAAAACUAAGGUUCCACCCCCAGAAGAAGUUCCCC
Long non-coding RNA from Neltuma alba, 187 nucleotides. RefSeq lists it as uncharacterized. The record is from RefSeq and is a predicted model, not a curated record. The transcript has 3 exons. Lineage: Eukaryota; Viridiplantae; Streptophyta; Magnoliopsida; Fabales; Fabaceae.